Molecule: ribosomal RNA, 731 nt
Filed under: uncultured bacterium
Lineage: Bacteria
Description: bacterial SSU rRNA
Rfam family: Bacterial small subunit ribosomal RNA
Source: RNAcentral
AACAGGAUUAGAUACCCUGGUAGUCCACGCCGUAAACGAUGUCAACUAGUUGUUCGUGUCAUUAAGACGUGAGUAACGCAGCUAACGCACUAAGUUGACCGCCUGGGGAGUACGGCCGCAAGGUUAAAACUCAAAUGAAUUGACGGGGGCCCGCACAAGCGGUGGAGCAUGUGGUUUAAUUCGAUGCAACGCGAAGAACCUUACCAUCCCUUGACAUCCAGUGAAUUUUUCAGAGAUGAAUUAGUGCCUUCGGGAACACUGAGACAGGUGCUGCAUGGCUGUCGUCAGCUCGUGUUGUGAGAUGUUGGGUUAAGUCCCGCAACGAGCGCAACCCUUAUCCUUAGUUGCCAGCACGUAAAGGUGGGAACUCUGGGGAGACUGCCGGUGAUAAACCGGAGGAAGGUGGGGACGACGUCAAGUCAUCAUGGCCCUUACGGGAUGGGCUACACACGUGCUACAAUGGCGCAUACAAAGGGCAGCAAGCCAGCGAUGGUUAGCGAAUCUCAUAAAGUGCGUCGUAGUCCGGAUCGGAGUCUGCAACUCGACUCCGUGAAGUCGGAAUCGCUAGUAAUCGUGGAUCAGAAUGCCACGGUGAAUACGUUCCCGGGCCUUGUACACACCGCCCGUCACACCAUGGGAGUGGGCUGCACCAGAAGUGGUUAGUUUAACCUUCGGGAGAACGAUCACCACGGUGUGGUUCAUGACUGGGGUGAAGUCGUAACAAGGUAACC